Molecule: long non-coding RNA, 2236 nt
Organism: Anser brachyrhynchus (Pink-footed goose)
Lineage: Eukaryota; Metazoa; Chordata; Aves; Anseriformes; Anatidae
Source: Ensembl
AUGUUCAGCUGGCACCGGAGCUUCGCGCUGGCAGCGCCCUGGAGGCGAGGUGAGCCCGGCCGCCCCCCGCGGCACACCCCCGGCCCCGCUCCUCCCUCCCGGCCGGGGCCGCCCGGGCGGUGCCCGGCCCGCUGCGGGCAGCACGGCCCUGCCCGCCCCGCCGCCGGCCCGAUGCUGCGCUCGCUGCUCUCCGGCUGCCUCUGUCCCCACGCAGGUAAGAAGAGCCCACCUGCUGAGGACAAAGUAGUGCUAACACACAUGAAGAUACUGAGCAACGAAGGAAUUCAGAACCCAGCACUAACACCAGAGGCUCCCACUGAUGCAGCCUGCACCGAAGAGCCCCAUCUCCCCGGUGCCAGCCUCCCCCAGGACUGCCAGGGAAGCCCCAAUGUUGCGGCCCCGCCAGCAGACCCAGACUGUGCAGAUGCCCCGGCAGGCACAGACUAUGUAGCCACACUGCCUGACCUCAGCACCUUCGAGUCCAAGUGCCAACUUCACAGAUUAUCCAAAUUUGAAUCUGAGGACUCAGGGGUGGAAUUGCCAAGCGGGGCUAAUUCUCCAUCAACACCAACAGGUUCAGAGAAGAGCUUUGUGCUUCACAACAGAGACUCAUUUUGCGACUCGGGCGUGCUUAGCACCUCUUCUUCUCCAGAAAUUGACCAUCUGAUAAUGAGAACAUGUAAAGAACGUGCCAGAAAAGUCAGCCACCAAGGUCCAGAGAGUGAAAAGCAAGCAGAGUACUACAGCCAGGAGUCUGAUGCUGUGCAGGUUCCUACAGCUCCCCUUGACAACUUCAGUGUCUCUCAGGAAGGAGAAGAUCCUGAUGAACAUUUUGACCAGAGCGAAAGGCAAUCUCUGGAAAAGGAACCUGCACCAGAGAUGGACCUACCCAGGGAAAGCACUCUUCCCACCCCAGAUCCUGUAGAAGAGCCAAAGACAAUUGCUGACAAUUACCCAGAGACCUUUGGCAGCAUGCAAGACCUUCAGAUCCCUGGGCAUCCGCUGAAGAAGUACCCCACAAGUGACAGUCUGGAUGAAUACAUGGAUGAAUGCUGUAGACUGAGUGAGGUGAACCAAGGGAACAGCAAAGCCCUGGGAUCAGGCCUGGGAUACCUGGAACACAUUUGCCAACUGAUAGAGAAGAUUGGGCAGCUGCAGGAGCACAACCUGCGGCUCCAGAAACAGGUCUGCAGCUUGCAGAAAGAGCAGAAGAUGAGCCAGCUAAAAGAGGAGUACCUCAUGCAGCAUUGCUCCUGCGGAGCUGCCAGUGUGUUCCUCAACUCGUACCAAGACGUGAAGACAUUUUUCGCAGGGAGGAGCAGACCUCAUAGCCUCUUGGUUCAGACGGGAAACCCUUCUGAUCUUUCCAUCAUCCCAGAAAUAGGAGCCAACACCGAAAAGCUGAGCGGCUGCAGCGGAAGUGAGAGACACGCGGAAUCAGGAAACAGCCAGCCAAUGUCGGGGCUCAGGAAGCUGUCAAACAAUAGGAACAACAAGGAGAAUGAGUUCACAGAAGCUGGUAGCAUGGCAGAGGGGCAGGCUUUUCCGUCAAAGGAUCCUGCAGCAAGAAAGGGUCUGGACACCAGCAAGAACUGCUCGGGUGAGAGCCAUGCCUGGGGGAGAAUGAGAGAUCUCAUGAGGAAGACACGGCUGAGAAACCAGAGUAAGCUGGGGCUGUCCUCCGCCGCUCUGAAGAGGUCAUGCCCACAGUUGUACAGGCCAGAUAUUACAACUUCAGAGCUGAGGAAAACUGAGAGGAACUCCAUGAUUGUUCUGGGGCAGAACACGAAGAAUGAAAACAUAUGGCCUUUCUGAUAACCUGAAUCAAAUGGAACAAGGAAGGAGAAGUGAGAGCAGCAAUGGACACAAAAUUGAAAAGCCCAGGAUUGCUUUGUGCACCAUGCAUCCUCCAGCUGUUGACAGAGCAACUCUGAUUUGAGCGCUGAAAGGGAAAGAAGGAAGGGGGAGGUGAAGAAAGGUCCGAGGACAGACACGUGCUCAGCUACAUAUGGCUUCACUCCUGAAACUGAAGUACACACACAGAAUCAAGCUGCAGACAAAAACUGCAGCCCACAUCUUGGCAAUAUAACCAGCAGAGACAUUUAAAUGAGAUUUGGUAACUGUUCCUCCUAUCUGGGUUCAGAACAGAACUACCCAAAACGCUGAAGCUUUUAAGUUGUCUUUGCUUUGUGGGGACUACCUCCAGCUGAAAUAAAUUUAAGCCUCACAGGAGACA